This 253-nucleotide ribosomal RNA is filed under the name uncultured bacterium. RNAcentral's name for it is "partial 16S ribosomal RNA". It matches the Rfam family "Bacterial small subunit ribosomal RNA", at positions 524 to 776 of the family's 1533-position model. The record is from RNAcentral.
UACGGGGGGGGCAAGCGUUGUUCGGAAUUACUGGGCGUAAAGGGCUCGUAGGCGGCCAACUAAGUCAUACGUGAAAUCCCUCAGCUUAACUGGGGAACUGCGUGUGAUACUGGAUGGCUUGGAUUUGGGAGAGGGAUGCGGAAUUCCAGGUGUAGCGGUGAAAUGCGUAGAUAUCUGGAGGAACACCGGUGGCGAAGGCGGCAUCCUGGCCUGUUCUUGACGCUGAGGCGCGAAAGCUAGGGGAGCAAACGGG